This 243-nucleotide ribosomal RNA is filed under the name Triticum aestivum (bread wheat). RNAcentral's name for it is "partial small subunit ribosomal RNA". Lineage: Eukaryota; Viridiplantae; Streptophyta; Magnoliopsida; Poales; Poaceae. The record is from RNAcentral.
AUGCGAACGGUGAUGGAUUUGAUGAUUGCUCGAGGAUUAGAUAAACGGUAUUGGUGUGACAUUUCCUCUCCUCUUGUGUGUCGAGACGACCUCCUGUGCAAAGUCGUGUUGACUACAAAGUACAAAUGCAAUGUCAAUGGCACAGUUUUUCUUUCAGUGAAACACCGAGUGCAAUACAGAGGCACGCAAACUUACGCGGUUACGCCACCUUUAAGCUUAACCCUGAUGUAUUACGUGCUCUAA